AACGCGUGGGAAUCUGCCCUUGGGUACGGAAUAACUCAGAGAAAUUUGUGCUAAUACCGUAUAAUGUCUUCGGACCAAAGAUUUAUCGCCCAAGGAUGAGCCCGCGUAAGAUUAGCUAGUUGGUGGGGUAAAAGCCUACCAAGGCGACGAUCUUUAGCUGGUCUGAGAGGAUGAUCAGCCACACUGGGACUGAGACACGGCCCAGACUCCUACGGGAGGCAGCAGUGGGGAAUAUUGGACAAUGGGCGAAAGCCUGAUCCAGCAAUGCCGCGUGAGUGAUGAAGGCCUUAGGGUUGUAAAGCUCUUUUACCCGGGAUGAUAAUGACAGUACCGGGAGAAUAAGCUCUGGCUAACUCCGUGCCAGCAGCCGCGGUAAUACGGAGGGAGCUAGCGUUGUUCGGAAUUACUGGGCGUAAAGCGCGCGUAGGCGGUUUUUUAAGUCAGAGGUGAAAGCCCAGUGCUCAACACUGGGACUGCCUUUGAAACUGGAAAACUUGAAUCUUGGAGAGGUCAGUGGAAUUCCGAGUGUAGAGGUGAAAUUCGUAGAUAUUCGGAAG
RNAcentral lists this ribosomal RNA (557 nucleotides) under uncultured bacterium. Its description in RNAcentral is "bacterial SSU rRNA". It matches the Rfam family "Bacterial small subunit ribosomal RNA", at positions 112 to 704 of the family's 1533-position model. The record is from RNAcentral.